Paralichthys olivaceus (Japanese flounder) is the source of this 327-nucleotide non-coding RNA. The record is from RefSeq and is a predicted model, not a curated record. NCBI's taxonomy places the organism in Eukaryota, Metazoa, Chordata, Actinopteri, Pleuronectiformes, Paralichthyidae.
CUGCAACAACGACGACUACCACCACCACCACCACCUCUACCACCAUGUCUGCCCCCCCGACGACGACCACUGUUGCUUCCAUGACAUCAAGCUCCUCCAUCGCCACAACAAGAACCAAUGUUGACUCCACCACGACCCCUGGAGGAUUGAUGGGGGGCUUGACCACCACACCAGUCGGCUUCACCAGCACACCUGAAGGUUCGACCACCCCGCCCGGAGGAUGGACGACCACGCCAGCCGGCUAGACCACCAUGACAAAUGGCGGCUAGACCAGAAGUCCCUCCUCCACCAGCUUUUCUUAAAAAUAAACAUUGUAUUACUCAGUCA